This is an RNA transcript of Manihot esculenta (cassava), 2252 nucleotides long. It is a transcript of the gene named probable carboxylesterase 11, with no coding region annotated. The transcript has 7 exons. The record is from RefSeq and is a predicted model, not a curated record. Lineage: Eukaryota; Viridiplantae; Streptophyta; Magnoliopsida; Malpighiales; Euphorbiaceae.
ACAAAGAACCCCUAAAUCCCAACCCUAAAUCUCUCUCAACUCUAAGUCUUCUGCCGCCCUCCCCUCCCCCAUUCGGCCUCUCCGUCACUGGUCUGGUACAGCCUUGCGCCUCUUCUCUCCCUCUCUUUCUCUCUCGUUCUCUAAACAAAUGCCAAGCGUAAUCGCUAAACUUUAUAGCGUUUUCUUCAAAUAUCAACAAAAAAGCCUUCUGCAGAGCUUAUCACAGCUUCCUUUCAGCGAUAAAGCUGACCCUUUUGGCUUAACUUCUCGGCCCCAUGAAUCUAUCGCCUCCAGCAACCCUUUAUUUACUGACGGUGUCGCUACCAAGGACAUCCACGUCGACCCCUUUUCUUCCCUUUCUCUCCGGAUCUUCCUCCCUGAAACCGCUCUCGCUUCCCCAUUAGCUACUAGUCGAGAUUACGAUGUACCCACUUAUGGAGGAUAUUCUCCACCGACGAGUAAGUUCAACAGGAAGUUGCCUGUAAUGUUGCAGUUUCACGGAGGUGGGUUUGUAAGUGGGAGCAAUGAUUCGGUGGCAAACGAUACUUUUUGCAGGAGGAUAGCCAAAUUGUGCGACGUAAUUGUUGUUGCUGUUGGGUAUAGAUUGGCACCAGAGAGUAGAUACCCAGCUGCGUUUGAAGAUGGCCUCACAGUUUUGAAUUGGCUGGCCAAACAGGCGAAUUUGGCUUCUUGUAGGAGAUCCUUCCAGCUGUCUGCCGCUGCUCAAGCUGUAGGGGAAGUAAAUCUGGAGAAAAAAUUUGCAGCAGCGAGUGAAAGCCUGCGCCGAGGGAGAUUGAUUUUGUGAAUGAGAUGGUGCGGACUCUUGCUGGGAAUGGAACCAAAGGUUCUGACUAUAAAGGUGGAGGAAAAGGAACGACUCAGCUUCUCAACUCUCCAUGGGAUGUCUGCUAUGAGCCAGUCAAUGAAAAAGUCUAUAUUGCAAUGGCUGGACAGCAUCAGAUAUGGGAGCACAAUACUCUAGAUGGAGUUACUAUAGCUUUCAGUGGUGAUGGUUAUGAAAGAAACUUAAAUGGAUCAAGCUCCACUAGCACGUCAUUUGCACAACCUUCUGGAAUUUCACUAUCUCCUGGUAACAUUUUGGAUUAUUUUGACAAACAGUGUAACUUUCUUUGAAAUUUGCAAAUCAUUGUGGAAUGUGGACUGCCCCAGUUUAUUUCCAGAAGUAAGCUGUUACAUUCUUUAUUAUAAAGGUCAUGUUCACUUAUGCCUUUUGAAAAGGAAAGAGAGGGGGGCGGUGGAUGUUCGUUCUAGGGAAGGACAAUAUUAGAAUCAAUUUGCUUUCUUUUCUCAUGUUACCAACUUCAUCAUUUAGUUGAUACAUGCUAUCCUUUGGAGCUUUAUCAUGUUUUGAGUAACCCUUUAUUUCCUUUUUUAUUUAAGUUUUCUAGAUUCAGUAUAGCGUGUAUAGCUUUCUCUUCACUUGAGAUUCUAUUUGAAAGAAGAGAACUUUUCGUUUUUUAGUGAAAUUGGGAAUUUAUUCUAAAUUGAAAGCAGCUGAAGUUUUCUUUAAAUUUUAUCUUUCACUUUUUAUCUGUGUGUAUUUCUUUUCUUUAAAUUUAUAGAUACUGAAGACCUUGUUUGAGAUUGUGUUGUUUGAGGAUUGUGGCAACCAGUGGAGUCUCAAUAGACCUAUGUUGAGCUUAAUUCUUAUUAGUGAGCAGCCAGUGGAUCAACCUCAGCGGCUUUCACUUUGUUUCGACAAACUGAUGGCUGAUGUCACUCGAAGCUUGGAUGCAAAGAACAGCGACAGGUUUACUCAGAAUCUGACUGUUUUCAGGCAUGAAAUCCGUGUGAAAUAGCUCGAAUGUUGCAUAUUGCUACCUGUUUAGGGAUUGCAUUUUACCUCCAGAUACUGUGUUCGAAGAAGCCCAAGUACCUUACAUUAAUUUGACCAGUAAGCUUGGAUCAUGUUUGCUGUUGGAGAGGAGCUUCUUUUGAUGCAGUAUCUAUAUUUGUUGCCAAAUCAUUAAGAAGAAGAAGGUUCCUUUUUGAAAGGAUACUGGAAGUGUAAUACACAAUGAUGAGGGGAUUACCAAAGACUUGCAGAAGCUAGUGGUGGGUUUGAUAGUAGUCUAUGUUUAGGGUAUUUAUUCUUUCUGAAACAAAGAUGUAAAUCAUUCAUGGGAUUAUGUUUUAAAGGUGGUGACAAGUAGAUUUAUUUGUACAUUAACCUCAAAUAAUUCUUUUGUAUUUGUUGAUAAUAGAAAGAAAAGGAAUGAUAUUUUAGUGUA